UACGUAGGGGGCAAGCGUUGUCCGGAUUUAUUGGGCGUAAAGAGCGUGUAGGCGGCCAGAUAGGUCUGGUGUGAAAACUUGAGGCUCAACCUCAAGAGGUCACUGGAAACCAUUUGGCUAGAGUCCGGAAGAGGAGAGUGGAAUUCCUGGUGUAGCGGUGAAAUGCGCAGAUAUCAGGAAGAACACCUAUGGCGAAGGCGGGUCUCUGGGCCGAUACUGACGCUGAGGAGCGAAAGCGUGGGGAGCGAACAGG
Molecule: ribosomal RNA, 253 nt
Filed under: uncultured bacterium
Lineage: Bacteria
Description: partial 16S ribosomal RNA
Rfam family: Bacterial small subunit ribosomal RNA
Source: RNAcentral